GCGGCGUGCACUAAUACAUGCAAGUAGAACGCUGAAGACUUUAGCUUGCUAAAGUUGGAAGAGUUGCGAACGGGUGAGUAACGCGUAGGUAACCUGCCUACUAGCGGGGGAUAACUAUUGGAAACGAUAGCUAAUACCGCAUAACAGCAUUUAACACAUGUUAGAUGCUUGAAAGGAGCAAUUGCUUCACUAGUAGAUGGACCUGCGUUGUAUUAGCUAGUUGGUGAGGUAACGGCUCACCAAGGCGACGAUACAUAGCCGACCUGAGAGGGUGAUCGGCCACACUGGGACUGAGACACGGCCCAGACUCCUACGGGAGGCAGCAGUAGGGAAUCUUCGGCUUUGGGGGCAACCCUGACCGAGCAACGCCGCGUGAGUGAAGAAGGUUUUCGGAUCGUAAAGCUCCUGUUGUAAGAGAAGAACGUGUGUGAGAGUGGAAAGUUCACACAG
RNAcentral lists this ribosomal RNA (450 nucleotides) under Streptococcus infantarius. Its description in RNAcentral is "bacterial SSU rRNA". It matches the Rfam family "Bacterial small subunit ribosomal RNA", at positions 39 to 471 of the family's 1533-position model. Lineage: Bacteria; Bacillati; Bacillota; Bacilli; Lactobacillales; Streptococcaceae. The record is from RNAcentral.